GAUGAUCCAAAAAUCAAGCAUAGUUCAAUCAGACCUAUCAUGAUCGACACACUUCCAUCUAGUCUUUCGCUCCUAUCUGA
Molecule: small nucleolar RNA, 80 nt
Filed under: Cutaneotrichosporon oleaginosum
Lineage: Eukaryota; Fungi; Basidiomycota; Tremellomycetes; Trichosporonales; Trichosporonaceae
Description: Trichosporon oleaginosus Small nucleolar RNA snR60/Z15/Z230/Z193/J17
Rfam family: Small nucleolar RNA snR60/Z15/Z230/Z193/J17
About the family: The members of this family belong to the C/D class of snoRNAs which contain the C (UGAUGA) and D (CUGA) box motifs. Most of the members of the box C/D family function in directing site-specific 2'-O-methylation of substrate RNAs. The family includes the yeast snoRNA snR60 (also known as Z15) and the corresponding human guide snoRNA U80 (SNORD80).
Source: Rfam by way of RNAcentral